ACGGAAGGCAGCAGUGGGGAAUAUUGCGCAAUGGGGGAAACCCUGACGCAGCGACGCCGCGUGAAGGAAGAAGGUUUUCGGAUCGUAAACUUUUGUCUUUGGGGACGAGAACGGACGGUACCCAAGGAGGAAGCCACGGCUAACUACGUGCCAGCAGCCGCGGUAAUACGUAGGUGGCGAGCGUUGUCCGGAUUUACUGGGUGUAAAGGGCGUGUAGGCGGGCACGCAAGUUGGGUGUGAAAUACCGGGGCUUAACCCCGGGGCUGCACUCAAAACUGCGAGUCUUGAGUGCCGGAGAGGAAAGCGGAAUUCCUAGUGUAGCGGUGAAAUGCGUAGAUAUUAGGAGGAACACCGGUGGCGAAGGCGGCUUUCUGGACGGUAACUGACGCUGAGGCGCGAAAGCGUGGGGAGCAAACAGGAUUAGAUACCCUGGUA
This 435-nucleotide ribosomal RNA is filed under the name uncultured Oscillospiraceae bacterium. Its description in RNAcentral is "bacterial SSU rRNA". It matches the Rfam family "Bacterial small subunit ribosomal RNA", at positions 341 to 792 of the family's 1533-position model. The record is from RNAcentral. Lineage: Bacteria; Bacillati; Bacillota; Clostridia; Eubacteriales; Oscillospiraceae.